Molecule: long non-coding RNA, 1287 nt
Organism: Ipomoea nil (Japanese morning glory)
Lineage: Eukaryota; Viridiplantae; Streptophyta; Magnoliopsida; Solanales; Convolvulaceae
Exons: 3
Source: RefSeq, a predicted model, not a curated record
GACCCGGCUUUUCCAAUCAAUUUGGGAAAUUAGAGUAAAAAGCCCUAGUCUGAUGUUUUGAAAGGCCAACAGAAGAAGAAGUCCAUCCCUCCCAAUCGCCAUGAAAUUUCCUUACAUAUGCCCUCUAUGUAAAUUCAUAUGGUCCUGAUGAGAUGCUAUUUUCGAACUUGAAUUGAAUGGAAGAGAGCUGUGAAAUCAUCGAAAAACACAGAUGUGGAUCGUGAGCUAACCAAGUUCAUAAAUAACUGCAAUGAAGUAAAAGCUGCUAAGAUGACAAGGGAAACUCGCUGUCACUAUCCAAUGGUAUGCAUUGAGUAAACCCCACCUUGUGACUCUAACCACUAGAGGACUACAAGGAGGUAAAUCACCUUAAAUUGUCUAUAGUUAACCGGCUCAAACUAAAAAAUUAAGUAGGCGACUCUUACUAGGAGUCGAACUUGAAAUAUUGUGAUUACCAAGCCAACAAUCUGACUAAUUUAGUUGGGUUACAAAAAAAAAAAAAAAAAAAAACUGCUACUAUUGCUACUAAGGAUGGUGGUCGGUUAAGCAUAGUUAAGCCACAGCCAACAACCUUAGUUAUCAAGCCAACAACCUGACUAACUUAGUUGGGUUAUUAAAAAAAAAAAAAGCUGCUACUAUUGCUACUAAGGAUGGUGGUUGGUUAAGCAUAGUUAAGCCACAGCCCGAGUCCUCCAAUGCAGCAAAGUAGAUUCUCAUCAGCUAGUGGUUUAAAAGGAGCAAAGGGAGUUAUUUACUGUUUACAUGUAAAAGCCAAAUUUUGACCAUUUUCAUAGUGUUAAAAGCUCUGUUUUAGAAGCAUGUUCUGUUUCCAUUACUAUGAAAAUCUCUUCUGCUGUGUUUAUCCUUCCUGGUCUGCUCUUCAUUCAAGUGAUGAAAUUCCUGAACUGAUUUUCCCAAACCUAGGAAUUCUUCAUAGUUUCAAUAUAUUUGAAUCCUACACAGUUUCCUUUUUCUUUAUAUUUUAUACAGAACUUAAAAUUGGUAAAUACUGAAAUACUAUCAUGUGCUUUGCCUUUUAUCUUCUGCCUAUCCUCUGUUCAACAGCUAUGGUCUUGUACUAUUUUUUGGCAGAGUUAUCCGUUGCUGACUGUGUUUGGCUCUGGUUAAUUCAGGGGCUGUCUCCUACGGUCCUACCUAACCGUUGGACUUCUGGGUAGUUGUGCAGGGGAAAAUGCAGCCUUAUGUUACCUUUCUAUUUGGAUACCUAAUAUAGAAGUUAACUUCUUUUUCUUUUUGAAAACAAUUUAGAAGUUAACUUAAAACUUA